RNAcentral lists this ribosomal RNA (412 nucleotides) under uncultured bacterium. Its description in RNAcentral is "bacterial SSU rRNA". It matches the Rfam family "Bacterial small subunit ribosomal RNA", at positions 88 to 518 of the family's 1533-position model. The record is from RNAcentral.
GUGGAAAGUGGCGGACGGGUGAGGUAAUACAUAGGAAAUCUGCCCUAGAAGGGGAUAACAGUCGAAACGAUUGCUAAUACCCUAUAUGAGCUUGGUUGCAAUACCAAUCUUGAAAACUCCGGUGCCUAAGGAUGAGCCUGUGCCUGAUUAGCUUGUUGGUGGUGUAAUGGACCACCAAGGCGACGAUCAGUAGCUGGUUUGAGAGGAUGAUCAGCCACAAUGGAACUGAGACACGGUCCAUACUCCUACGGGAGGCAGCAGUAGGGAAUUUUGGGCAAUGGGCGAAAGCCUGACCCAGCAAAACCGCCGCGUGUGUGAUGAAGCCCCUAGGGGUGUAAAACACUGUCAGUAGGGAAGAAUCAAUGACUGUACCUACAGAGGAAGCACCGGCUAACUCCGUGCCAGCAGCUGC